Molecule: small nuclear RNA, 104 nt
Organism: Tupaia belangeri (northern tree shrew)
Lineage: Eukaryota; Metazoa; Chordata; Mammalia; Scandentia; Tupaiidae
Source: Ensembl
GUGCUUGCUUCGGCAGCACAUAUACUAAAAUUGGAACGAUACAGAGAAGAUUAGCAUGGCCCCUGUGCAAGGAUGACAUUUUAAAUGACUAAGAACCCCUUCAG